GGCAAGAUGGCCGAGUUGGUCUAUGGCGCACGGUUCAGGUCUACCUGAUCCAAACUUCCGUGUCUCGAAAGGGGCGUGGGUUCGAAUCCCACUCUUGUCA
Transfer RNA from Penicillium subrubescens, 100 nucleotides. It matches the Rfam family "tRNA". Rfam says of the family: Transfer RNA (tRNA) molecules are approximately 80 nucleotides in length. Their secondary structure includes four short double-helical elements and three loops (D, anti-codon, and T loops). Further hydrogen bonds mediate the characteristic L-shaped molecular structure. tRNAs have two regions of fundamental functional importance: the anti-codon, which is responsible for specific mRNA codon recognition, and the 3' end, to which the tRNAs corresponding amino acid is attached (by aminoacyl-tRNA synthetases). tRNAs cope with the degeneracy of the genetic code in two manners: having more than one tRNA (with a specific anti-codon) for a particular amino acid; and 'wobble' base-pairing, i.e. permitting non-standard base-pairing at the 3rd anti-codon position. The record is from Rfam. Lineage: Eukaryota; Fungi; Ascomycota; Eurotiomycetes; Eurotiales; Aspergillaceae.